RNAcentral lists this ribosomal RNA (773 nucleotides) under Pediococcus acidilactici. Its description in RNAcentral is "bacterial SSU rRNA". It matches the Rfam family "Bacterial small subunit ribosomal RNA", at positions 682 to 1454 of the family's 1533-position model. Lineage: Bacteria; Bacillati; Bacillota; Bacilli; Lactobacillales; Lactobacillaceae. The record is from RNAcentral.
UGAAAUGCGUAGAUAUAUGGAAGCAACACCAGUGGCGAAGGCGGCUGUCUGGUCUGUAACUGACGCUGAGGCUCGAAAGCAUGGGUAGCGAACAGGAUUAGAUACCGUGGUAGUCCAUGCCGUAAACGAUGAUUACUAAGUGUUGGAGGGUUUCCGCCCUUCAGUGCUGCAGCUAACGCAUUAAGUAAUCCGCCUGGGGAGUACGACCGCAAGGUUGAAACUCAAAAGAAUUGACGGGGGCCCGCACAAGCGGUGGAGCAUGUGGUUUAAUUCGAAGCUACGCGAAGAACCUUACCAGGUCUUGACAUCUUCUGCCAACCUAAGAGAUUAGGCGUUCCCUUCGGGGACAGAAUGACAGGUGGUGCAUGGUUGUCGUCAGCUCGUGUCGUGAGAUGUUGGGUUAAGUCCCGCAACGAGCGCAACCCUUAUUACUAGUUGCCAGCAUUCAGUUGGGCACUCUAGUGAGACUGCCGGUGACAAACCGGAGGAAGGUGGGGACGACGUCAAAUCAUCAUGCCCCUUAUGACCUGGGCUACACACGUGCUACAAUGGAUGGUACAACGAGUUGCGAAACCGCGAGGUUUAGCUAAUCUCUUAAAACCAUUCUCAGUUCGGACUGUAGGCUGCAACUCGCCUACACGAAGUCGGAAUCGCUAGUAAUCGCGGAUCAGCAUGCCGCGGUGAAUACGUUCCCGGGCCUUGUACACACCGCCCGUCACACCAUGAGAGUUUGUAACACCCAAAGCCGGUGGGGCAACCUUUAGGAGCUAGCC